This is a long non-coding RNA of Mastomys coucha (southern multimammate mouse), 1751 nucleotides long. RefSeq lists it as uncharacterized. The transcript has 3 exons. Lineage: Eukaryota; Metazoa; Chordata; Mammalia; Rodentia; Muridae. The record is from RefSeq and is a predicted model, not a curated record.
UGAAACAAAGCAAAGGGGGACGACCCGGCGGUUGACGGCCAGGCGGUGGCUGAGCGCGGCACCCUGGCGCCCGCAGCCGCCCGCACCGCCCACUGAGGCUCGCCACGCCGGCUCGCCGCUUCCAGGCCACCCGCCGGCUCCUCCACGGCAGCCGCGGGCACCGCCUGGGCUUGCGUGACACCAGGCACCCGCCCGGGCCGCAGAAGGAGGAAAUUCCCUACAAAAUAGCAAUGGUUCCGAGAAAAGGAUCACAACAAAAUAUUGAAUAAAUUCCCUUUUAAUUUAUUUGAUCAUUCCACAUUACGGGGCUAUGAAUUGCUCAAAUUUGAUAACAAGUACUCAAUUCAACUCAUUAUGAAAGAGAUGUUGCUAUGUCAUCCUACACAGUUCAGGGCCAACUGAAUGAAAAUACUACAUCCUGGCAUUUUUAGAUGGAAUGGCUGCAGAAAAAAUUAUAAAGGGAAGCCUGUUGUGGCUUAGAUGUGAAAUGCUCCUCUACAGGCUGAAGCAUUUGGUCCCCAGCUGAUGACAUUAUGCUGAGAAGUUGCAGAUUCUUUGGAAGGAAGCCAUUUGUUGAGCAGCAGACCUUGAGUUAUACAGCACAGCCCCAUUUCCCAUCCCCUUUGCUUCUUAUUUCAGUGAGAUGCGAGCCGGCUAUGAGUCCCAGUGGCUGCCAUGAACCAGCUUGCCCACCAUGCCUUCCCACCAUAAUGGGCUUCAUCUUCUCAACCCACCAGCCAAAGCGAGUCCUUUCUCCCCUUCCUUGCUUUGUCAAGUAUUUGGUCACAGGGACUAGAAAAGCAAUUCGUAUCAAUCCGUUAUGGAGAGCAUCUCCCUACCUCGUUCUGGUAGCCCUGUGUCCAAGGGUGGAUACCACUCUCUCCCAAAGCAGUCUGUCACAGUUUUCAACAGUUUUGCUAGAAGGUUCCUCCUUAUAUCAGACUUCCACAUGCAGUUCCUUUUGAGCAUUAGCGGUCAGCGCAUAUGUCCUUCCUGACUUAGCUUUUUAUAAGAAAGCGUUUGGCCUUUGCCUGUCCUGCACAUCCCUCUGGAGACACUCUGGUUUGUAUACACUCUUCUUGGAGCAUGGAACCCUGAGUGGGAGACCAGUUUUAGAUAUGGGUUGAGUAGUUCAGAGUAAAGGAGGGCCCGCAGCUCCCUCGCCCUAGCCUAAAACCCUAUUAGAUUAUUUGGCCCCGCUGCCACUGAGCUUGUAGUCGAUUCAGACGCUGGGUCUUCAGGGAUUUUUUACCUGUUUUGUAAAUGCUGCCACUGGCUUGUGCUUAUCUCAUCUGAACUCGCACAAUUGAUUUUCUGGACCCCUGGGUAGAAGCUUGCAUUCAUUCUGGUUAUACUUGGUCUUGUGUUUAGCUCAUUUCCUUACCCUUGGCGAGGACUUGUUGAGCCCCAGCUCUCUCCCCGAUUAGCAUCAUCUGCAGUUUUGAUGACUAUAUGUUCUGUUCCAUCUUUCAGAUUUCUAUAAAUGCCAAACAGGAAUAGGUUAAGGUUGGAUUUUUUCCCCUCCUUCCCCGCCUUUCUCUUUCUCUCUUAUGGUUUCCCUGUUAGCUGGGCCUAAAAAGUUGAGAGGCAUCUCUCUAGGGCCUGAUGCCUUCCAUGAUCAUAAGCACCCAUACCAGCAUACCCUUGAAAGAUAGUCAUUCAGUUGGUUAAGAAACCAACAAAUGGUCCUGGCACUGUAGUCCUCCCCCUCUUGGCAGCUCUAUAGAAUGUAAUAAAAGGCAAGCAUAUCC